Neopsephotus bourkii (Bourke's parrot) is the source of this 268-nucleotide long non-coding RNA. RefSeq lists it as uncharacterized. NCBI's taxonomy places the organism in Eukaryota, Metazoa, Chordata, Aves, Psittaciformes, Psittacidae. The transcript is spliced from 3 exons. The record is from RefSeq and is a predicted model, not a curated record.
CAUCUCACUGCCUUCGCUUACUCCUUCCUCAGGGAAUUCUUCCAGGAUUUACUUGAAGUUCCUGGAGUGGCUGUGGAGGCGUUCACCUUUCAGAGAGCAGUACACGCUGCUUUGGCCAGCUCAUCUGGGUCUGCAAAGCUGGGGAACAAGAGACCAUGCUUACUGAAGGUGUUUCAAGGUGUGUGGGGCCUGUGCAGGUACCUGUGCCACCCUAAAUAAGGACAUCUUCCCAAAUGGAGGACAGAACAAAGGAAAGUUCAGUACUGCA